This 273-nucleotide non-coding RNA is filed under the name Paraburkholderia tropica. Lineage: Bacteria; Pseudomonadati; Pseudomonadota; Betaproteobacteria; Burkholderiales; Burkholderiaceae. The record is from RNAcentral.
UACACUCGCACGCACUCUGGUGCUCGCGUGCGCGUACGUUUCGCACGCAGUUAAACGGGAAUCAGGGAGCCAUCCCGCCACGGGCACGGCCAACCUGAACUGCACCCGCAACGGUACAACGAGCGCAUCGUCCGCAAAGUCGAUGCAAGCCGCUUCAUCGCAUGCGCCGCAUGCAUGGCCACUGUGCGACGCGCGCCUGAAUGGCGCGCCGCGCGGGAAGGCGAAGCGGCGUGACUCGUCAGUCCGGAUACCGGCCAGAUACGCGGGACGCGC